This is a long non-coding RNA of Ziziphus jujuba (common jujube), 2700 nucleotides long. RefSeq lists it as uncharacterized. The transcript is spliced from 5 exons. The record is from RefSeq and is a predicted model, not a curated record. Lineage: Eukaryota; Viridiplantae; Streptophyta; Magnoliopsida; Rosales; Rhamnaceae.
AGGAAUAGCAGAUCAAAUUGUGGUACUGUUGAAAAUUUCGAGCACUGUCAGGGUUAUUUACGUCUAUAGAACCGUUUUAGCAUAUAUACAAAGCGCGGGAAAGACGCCCGAGGCCCUCAGUCGCUCGCUGUCACAGCGGAUCCACUUUCAGUUUCAGAUCACAAAGGCCUUCAGAAAAACCCCUUCUUUUUUCUUUUUUUUUUUUUUUUGUUUGUUUUGUUUUUAAUUUAUCAUUUUCCAAUCCGAAAUCAGCUUUUUACGGACCGAAACAAUGAACGGCAAAAAACCGACAAUGGGAAGGCAGAGUGUUUCGAGGCUCCAAGAAGCUCAUAGGCACGGGUGAGGAAUAGCUCGAGGCCAACGAGGUUGGGGGAUGGGUCGAACUCUUCUCCGAAGGCGAUAAGAGGUUCGGAUUGGUCCUUAAUUUGCUCCCUGAGUUGAUUUUAUUAAUCAAUUUUAGCUUCAUUAGUUUGUUCGUUCUAUUUUCACCUCAAUUCACAUGGUUUUUGUUUCAAUUUUGGUGGUAUAUUAGCCGCAGCUUCGUUUUUUUUUUUUGGGUCUGUUUGGUUAAUAAGAAAGUGAAAGGAAGAGUAAGAAAUUAUGGUUCGAGUGUCUGACGGUUUUUACAAGUUUGUUCUUAUGGCAAGGGACAGCAGAAAAAAAAAAUAAAAAAUGUAAAUGGGAGAAAGCUAAAUCUUUUCCAUUUUCACUUUGUUUAAAGUAUCAGAUGGAAACGACUUGGCAUAAAAAACACGUUAGUGGAAGUGAUGAAUGCCUCAUUGUAAUUUUGCAGUCACCUUUGGAAGAUCAAGAACCACAAAAGUCUUUAAGUUGCGUUGUUAUCAUCUAUAAAUAUCAUCUAGUCCCAGUUGAGCUUAAUUGGACUUAGACCUCCCAGAGGAUAACCAUCAUAUGUCACGGGUAUCUAUUAUGUAUGUGCUAGCUUGAGUUAGUUUUCUAUAAUCAUGGAAAAUGGAUUUUUGGUCUUUUUGAUAGAUUGGGCAAUAUAAAGUCUCCACAUCAUUCUAAUAGUAUUUCUAAGUUGCUCAGCAGUGCAACAGAUCAUAAAAAGAAGCCCAGGGCAGAACAGGUGUUAGUUCAUAUUUUAGGCGGCAUGAAGCAGCCCUAACACGCCGCCACUGGCGUCUAAUGCUUUCAUCUAAUUUGAAAAUCUUUUGGCUGUAAUUAUUUCUCUGCCACGGAUUAAUCACAUCAUUCUAUGUUCAGAUUAUACAAUUAGCUUCAACUUCUCAGAAUGGCCAGUUUUUUUGCUUGGGUGGUUGUGGAAGUAAUCAUGCAUUAGACUCCUUUAAUUGUUCCUUGAGUAUUUUACCUCAAUUCUAAAGCUCCGUUAGAAGGAAAAUUUCUAGGAUACUCCCUCACGGUAGGCAGGCUUAUAAUCUCUAUGAGGUAUUUCUGGUGAAACUUCUGAAGUAAUAAUUAUGAUUCCGUUUCCUUUUUUUUCUUGUGUGAAAGGGUUUCUAACUCUAAAUUUUCUUUUCUUUCUAUGAGUUUGGUAGGUCAUAAUUGAUGAAGAUCAGUUUAGAGCAGAAAGCAAAAACCUGUCAGCUCUUCUUGCAGAUCUAGAAGUUCAGGUGACAUUGGAGUUUAAUGCAGUUGUUCAGAUUGGAUGCAUCUGUAAGGAGGAUAAAACUGCUAAGAAGUGAAAUGUCCAAGAUAGCUGGGGUCUGAGUGAAUUGCAGAUGAAGACUACUACAGAAUGCUCUUAUCUGGAGCACUUCUCUUUCUUUUACUUGAAUCACAGGUACACAGUAUCUGUUGUGGUGGUGAAUCUUUAUCAGAAUAAAGAUUUGUCUCCGUCUUUUAUUGAAAGACAAUUCCGUGAAGCUUGCCAAGCUUUGUCCAUUAAGCCCCCUCCAUGAAAUGAAAUAAUUUUCAUGGUGGAAUAUGUUGGGCAUAUCAAGGAUGCUUUAAUGGUGGUACAAGGAGCAACAUAUGAGCACAGUUUUAUUAGCACGGUGUGAAAGACCUUAUAGUCAUCGGUUCGACUAUCAUAACCAAAUCCAGAAACACAAGAAGCAUUGCGGCGAUAUUGCGGAUGGGUGAUUUCUGGGAGUUUUUUGUAUGCCCUAAUGCAAGGGUUCCAUAGGUAUGUAGAGGGAAAUUGAUGCUUUACAUUAGUCUUUUUUGUCAAGCAAAGCAAACCAUUACAGGAACCAAUCACAUCAAAUUUCGACGACGAUGACGAGGAGUCCAUUCUUGGAAUUUUCAGAAUCUCUAAAAGCUCAUGGUCCUUAUCUUUGUGUUUGAUCUUUUGACAUCGUGGGAAACAGGUUAAAUAUCCAUGUUGCUUGGUGGCGCACCAAUUGGCAUGCAUUGUAAUGAACCUGGAAUCGGUGAGGAUUUGAUACCAAGUUUUGCAUACGGUUCUAAGUUGGAGAAUGAUUUUCACAGAAAGUCUAGACAAGAUGUUUGUUAGGAGCUCCGUUGGUAAUUCAGACAACCUACAAUGUGUUUUUCUUCUAUAAACUUUAUAAUUCAUCGUUUCUUCCUCUAAUAGAGUCAGAAGACAAUAGUGUACGACUGAGGUUUAUAUGUUAGUGCUUUGGAAUGGAAAACGGGCUGGUAUAAUUACCCAGAUUAUAUUUUUCUUUUUUAUUUAUGUUCAAGUUUGACUAGGAAAUUAACUUUAUUUGUAUUUCCUUUAUAUAUUUAGCAAAAUUGGGUAUGAUCAAUUAC